GACGAACGCUGGCGGCGUGCUUAACACAUGCAAGUCGAACGGAAAGGCCCUGCUUUUGUGGGGUGCUCGAGUGGCGAACGGGUGAGUAACACGUGAGUAACCUGCCCUUGACUUUGGGAUAACUUCAGGAAACUUGGGCUAAUACCGGAUAGGAGCUCCUGCUGCAUGGUGGGGGUUGGAAAGUUUCGGCGGUUGGGGAUGUACUCGCGGCUUAUCAGCUUGUUGGUGGGGUAGUGGCUUACCAAGGCUUUGACGGGUAGCCGGCCUGAGAGGGUGACCGGCCACAUUGGGACUGAGAUACGGCCCAGACUCCUACGGGAGGCAGCAGGGGGGAAUAUUGCACAAUGGGCGGAAGCCUGAUGCAGCAACGUCGCGUGCGGGAUGACGGCCUUCGGGUUGUAAACCGCUUUCGCCUGUGACGAAGCGUGAGUGACGGUAAUGGGUAAAGAAGCACCGGCUAACUACGUG
Molecule: ribosomal RNA, 468 nt
Filed under: uncultured bacterium
Lineage: Bacteria
Description: partial 16S ribosomal RNA
Rfam family: Bacterial small subunit ribosomal RNA
Source: RNAcentral